GCCUCCGUAGCUCAGCGGUUAGAGUGUCUCGAUAUCUUGCAUCAGGAUGAACAUUAAUGAGGAGACGUGGGUUCAAUUCCUACUGGAGGUG
Mycena alexandri is the source of this 91-nucleotide non-coding RNA. NCBI's taxonomy places the organism in Eukaryota, Fungi, Basidiomycota, Agaricomycetes, Agaricales, Mycenaceae. The record is from the annotation of a GenBank genome assembly.